UACGAAGGGAGCGAGCGUUGUUCGGAAUCACUGGGCUUAAAGAGUACGUAGGCGGCCACACAAGUCAGGAGUGAAAUCCCGGGGCUCAACCCCGGAAUUGCUUUUGAAACUAGGUGGCUCGAGUCCCGGAGAGGUUAGCAGAAUUCCGAGUGUAGAGGUGAAAUUCGCAGAUAUUCGGAGGAAUACCAGUGGCGAAGGCGGCUAACUGGACGGGUACUGACGCUGAGGUACGAAAGCGUGGGGAGCAAACAGG
RNAcentral lists this ribosomal RNA (253 nucleotides) under uncultured bacterium. RNAcentral's name for it is "partial 16S ribosomal RNA". It matches the Rfam family "Bacterial small subunit ribosomal RNA", at positions 524 to 776 of the family's 1533-position model. The record is from RNAcentral.